RNAcentral lists this transfer RNA (84 nucleotides) under bovine gut metagenome. It matches the Rfam family "tRNA". Rfam says of the family: Transfer RNA (tRNA) molecules are approximately 80 nucleotides in length. Their secondary structure includes four short double-helical elements and three loops (D, anti-codon, and T loops). Further hydrogen bonds mediate the characteristic L-shaped molecular structure. tRNAs have two regions of fundamental functional importance: the anti-codon, which is responsible for specific mRNA codon recognition, and the 3' end, to which the tRNAs corresponding amino acid is attached (by aminoacyl-tRNA synthetases). tRNAs cope with the degeneracy of the genetic code in two manners: having more than one tRNA (with a specific anti-codon) for a particular amino acid; and 'wobble' base-pairing, i.e. permitting non-standard base-pairing at the 3rd anti-codon position. The record is from RNAcentral.
GAGAGAUGGCUGAGUGGUCGAAGGCGCACGAUUGGAAAUCGUGUGUAGGCGAAACCUACCAUGGGUUCGAAUCCCAUUCUCUCC